GUCAUCUGAUAGAAGUGCUAUAAACUAGAAACAAAAGAUUAGAUUAGAUGGAAGCAAAUAUUAUCAUCAUUGCCCAAUCUUUUCUCACCAAAGAUAAGGACGGCUGUGAAGUGCGACCAUAAUUCGUGAAGGCUCUAUUGAUGUGUGACUCCAGUUAUCUUAGAAUUUGUUGCAAAUUCCUGGUCAUGAAACUUUAAGCACUAUAGACUCUCCCCAAACCUACAAGGUUGGCUGGUG
RNAcentral lists this long non-coding RNA (237 nucleotides) under Elaeis guineensis (African oil palm). RNAcentral's name for it is "long non-coding RNA (EGUI_LNC078215)". The record is from RNAcentral. Lineage: Eukaryota; Viridiplantae; Streptophyta; Magnoliopsida; Arecales; Arecaceae.